CGACAGCUAUUGAUUUGAGACUAUGUUAUUUUUUUUGAGAUAGUUUAGAAACUUCCACUAAGGUGUAUACCUCCUUGAUCUAAUCGAAUAAUCUUAAAGAGUUUUUUAAUUUACUUCUUUAUCUCAUAUUUGAAUUUUUUAAAUUUUUUAAAAAUUUUAGAUUUAUAUCUCAUACACAUAUCCAUACCACGAAUAAUCAUCAGCAAAGGCAAUGAAAUAAAGAUAACCACCCCUGGUCUGCACAUCAAAUAGGUUGCAUGCAUACAUCAGUGUGCACUAAGGCAAGAUCUCAGUAGUUCCCUCCUCUUAUCCUAUAAAAGGUUAUUUGAUCAUUUUUCCUUGAAGAAAAGACUCACAAACUGGAUAGGACAUUAGCUAAAAAGCUCAUCUUUCUUCAAUCUAUUUAUCCUAUCCUCUCCAAUAUGAUCAAGCUUAAAGUGCCAUAUAUACUUUAGGUUCAUCUCAUCUCUGGAUCUCUCAGAUUCUAUGACACUCACUAUCUACUUAGAAAUAUUUAUAGACACAUCCAUAUGCAAAUUACAUAGUUUCAUGAGCAAGUCUAACACACCUUCCAAAGGCGUGUUCUCUUUGUUCUUCAGGAACUCCAGGUAUAUAAGAUAGUUUCUUUUCUAAUGAUCAUCAAUAUUACAGCAAAAAUUCUUUCCCUUUGUUAGUGACCUUCUUCUUAGGAACUUUUCUUUUUGGCUUACUCUCUGUCUUUUGCUUUUUCAUAGGCUUCUUCUUCCAAGUAGACUUUCUAUUGGUAUAAGUAGUCUCCUCCACAAUGAGAGCCAUGUCCCUUGAACCCUUCAAGGCUCCUUUAGCAGUUACCAACAUGUUUAACAAUUUGAUCUUGAUACAGUCAAUAUUAUUUAUAUGGUAGUUUACUAUAAACUGUCCACAUAAAUCAGAGAGAGAUUGCAUGAUCAAAUUCGUUUGUAAUUUUUUAUGCAUCUCAUGUUGAGCUUCUCAAGCUUCUCUAAAUCUUUGAUUAUUGUCAAAUAAUGACCAUGGACAAAUUGAAAUUGCCCUUUGGUCAAUCAUCAGACAAUUUGGUAAUACGGGGAUCUCCUAAUCGAGAGCUUAGCUUAACUUUUUGAAAUUUAAAACUAUUUUAGAUUCCUGAGCCAGUCUUUAUAAUUAAGUCUGCUUAGAUUAUUGGUUUCAAAAAUGUGAGUGAAAGGGUUAGAAGCUGAUAUUUUAUUCUUACAGAGAGUAAAGAUUCAAGAUAUAUUUUUAUAUUUAUUUUAAAAUAUUUAUUUUAAGAUCAAUUUUUAAAAACAAACGUAUCUCCCACUAUUUUUUUAAAUCUUUUACACUUGUCGGAUAGAGAAAUGGAAACCCUCACGACUAGAAUUUUUAGUGGAUACUGUGGCCCUAUCAAUUUGAGUACACCUCAUCUCAUAAUUAUUGAUGAUAUGCAAAUCAAUAAGUGGACAACUCUUGUCCAAUGCUUCUCAAACAAAUUGCAACCAUCUUCGAUCUCUAAGUCAUGUAGGCCUUACCUAAUAGUUAUUGACUUCAUUCCUUAGUUAAAUCAAACCCACUAUUUAAUGUGUAGGCAAAACCAUCAUUGGAUCCCUCAACUAAUAGUUAUUGGGUCCAACUCCAUCUUUAUUAUGCAGCAUCUUAUAUUAAUAGAAUGACUGUAUCUUUCUAAUACAACUAAACCACUAUAACCAAUCGAGAACAAUCAAUACUAGUAGAAGGCUCAUACAUCUAUAACGAUAGA
This 1732-nucleotide long non-coding RNA is filed under the name Elaeis guineensis (African oil palm). RNAcentral's name for it is "long non-coding RNA (EGUI_LNC063757)". Lineage: Eukaryota; Viridiplantae; Streptophyta; Magnoliopsida; Arecales; Arecaceae. The record is from RNAcentral.